Molecule: transfer RNA, 73 nt
Filed under: Proteomonas sulcata
Lineage: Eukaryota; Cryptophyceae; Pyrenomonadales; Geminigeraceae
Rfam family: tRNA
About the family: Transfer RNA (tRNA) molecules are approximately 80 nucleotides in length. Their secondary structure includes four short double-helical elements and three loops (D, anti-codon, and T loops).
Source: RNAcentral
GGUGGCGUAAUGGUAGCGCAAUGGACUCCAGAAAACUAGAAAUCCAUAGGUUGUCGGUUCGAAUCCGGUUCAU